RNAcentral lists this ribosomal RNA (486 nucleotides) under uncultured bacterium. Its description in RNAcentral is "bacterial SSU rRNA". It matches the Rfam family "Bacterial small subunit ribosomal RNA", at positions 28 to 509 of the family's 1533-position model. The record is from RNAcentral.
GAUGAACGCUGGCGGCGUGCCUAAUACAUGCAAGUCGAUCGGGCGUAGCAAUACGCCAGAGGCGAACGGGUGAGUAACACGUAGGUAACCUGCCCUCGAGACUGGGAUACCCAGACGAAAGUUUGGCUAAUACCGGAUAACAACAUUAGAGGCAUCUCUGAUGUUUGAAAGGCGCUUUAUAGCGUCACUCUUGGAUGGACCUGCGGCACAUUAGCUAGUUGGUGAGAUAAUAGCCCACCAAGGCAAGGAUGUGUAGCCGAUCUGAGAGGAUGACCGGCCACAAUGGGACUGAGACACGGCCCAUACUCCUACGGGAGGCAGCAGUAGGGAGUUUUCGGCAAUGGGGGAAACCCUGACCGAGCAACGCCGCGUGAGUGAUGAAGGUCUUCGGAUUGUAAAGCUCUGUUACAGGGGACGAAUGGUUGGCCUAGGAAAUGAGGUCAGCUUGACGGUACCCUGCCAGAAAGUGACGGCUAACUACGUGCC